Molecule: transfer RNA, 73 nt
Filed under: Candidatus Taylorbacteria bacterium RIFCSPLOWO2_12_FULL_47_20
Lineage: Bacteria; Candidatus Tayloriibacteriota
Description: tRNA-Thr
Rfam family: tRNA
About the family: Transfer RNA (tRNA) molecules are approximately 80 nucleotides in length.
Source: RNAcentral
GCCGAAGUAGCUCAGUUGGCAGAGCAACCGAUUCGUAAUCGGUAGGUCGCGAGUUCAACUCUCGCCUUCGGCU